CAAUUCCAGGAGACCCCAUUAAGAACGAAGGAAAGGAAGCAUUUUGAGUGUUAAAUGUAAAAGAUAUUUUACUGGGCAAGAAGGGAAUGGUGAAAGCAAAAAUGGACAGGUUAAAUGUUUUUCUAGUUAGUGCAAUGUGGGCAGAGUGUGGCUGAUUUGCAGAAAUAAACUUAUAGGCUAAAUUUGUUUGGAUUGUAAGUGGUGAUGUUUUUUGUGGAAUUCAAGUGAUCUGUAAUGAGCAGGCUGCAGCAUAUAUCAUAUGAAGAGGGUGAACAUGGUUUGGCAAUGGGUCGUUGUGACUUGGUGCACAGUCUUGUGUGGUGCAAAUUGGCUCCUGAUAAUAUGGCAGAGCAGCAACAAAAGUUUGACCUUUAAGUUGUGGUCACACAUUUCGCCCUCAAAACAUGCUGCAUUACAAUAAUGCCUACAUUUUCUCAUGCACAUACUUCUGGUACAUUAUCCCUAUUGUUGCCCCAACUACAUUUUCUCAUGCACAUACUUCUGGUACUAUUGUUGCCCCAACUCACUCACACCCAGCUCCAUUGAUCAACUUAUUUGUACUUUGUCCCAACAACAACCAAAUCCACCCUGUACCACUAACAAAAUCUGCUGCAAUACAAAAAUCCACUUCUCUUCUCCUCUUAUUUUCUAAAAAUAAAAGUCCAGCUAGGUAGCUUCGAUGCAUCAUCAUCCUGCACAUUACCCAGAAUUCUCUGUGCUUUCAAACAGCUCUAAGGCAAAUAACAAAAUGGCGGACUUAAUGGAUGCUACGAUAGCCCUUUUAUUUAGCUAUUUGAAAAUUUCACCGAGUCUCCUUGUUGGAUUUAGAACUACCAGCGCCAGUGUACGUUAUCUGGAUUUACAGUACGUGCGAUCAGGAAGAAACGAGACCUAGCCACUGUAAGUUGUUGAUUGGUCAGGUUGCCUGACGCAACGGCAUGUGACGCAAAACGAACACUCCUCAUUGGCUGGACAGAUGGAUAAGAGGACGUAGGUGCGUGUAGUAAAGUCACUACCCGGAACUUGGAUUUGGAAGCAAACGUCUCUGUUGGAAGUACUGAAGCCUGCUUCUGUUCAAGUACUCUACUUUGGAAAAGAUGAGUUCACAGACAAUGCUAUUGAGGUUGUGCCAUCUUCAUGGCUUGGACACACUUCUGAGGUACGAGUCUUUUUUUUUUUUUUGUCGAUACAUAGCAAAUAUGUAUGCUUACAUAUAUGCCUAUAUACUU
Neoarius graeffei (lesser salmon catfish) is the source of this 1229-nucleotide long non-coding RNA. RefSeq lists it as uncharacterized. The transcript has 3 exons. Lineage: Eukaryota; Metazoa; Chordata; Actinopteri; Siluriformes; Ariidae. The record is from RefSeq and is a predicted model, not a curated record.